RNAcentral lists this unclassified non-coding RNA (498 nucleotides) under Hevea brasiliensis (rubber tree). The record is from RNAcentral. Lineage: Eukaryota; Viridiplantae; Streptophyta; Magnoliopsida; Malpighiales; Euphorbiaceae.
AGAGAAUGAACAGAGCAGGAGGCAGAAAGUUCAGCAGAAGAGGAGUCAGGGUCAGAGUUCGACUUCUUUGCUAGCUAGUAAAAAGCUGAAGGGAUCACAGUCAGCAGGACAGGGCCAGAGAUAGAGUCAGAGGCAGGGUCAGGACUCCACAAUUAGGUCUGGACAGUAGGCCACUUCAGUUGCUAGUGCUGGAGGUUUGGGUAGGGGUAUGCACCCACUCUGUGAGCAUUGUGGUAGGAGGCACAGUGAAACAUGCAGGAAGCUGACAGGUGCCUAUUUUAGAUGUGGUUCCAUUGAUCACAUUAUGAGAGAUUGCCCUAAAGGGCAAGCUGCAGCAGCCCCGUAGAUUGAGAGAUCUGCUCCCACUAUUCAGAGAGGUAAAGGCCGGGGUAGAGGUGACACAGUUGGUGCAGCUAGUCAGAGGACUGCAUCCGAGAUAGUUGACAGGCCAGGUGCCUGUACACCUGCCAGAGUAUAUGCCAUCAGGGCGAGGGAGGA